AUUGAACGCUGGCGGCAGGCCUAACACAUGCAAGUCGAGCGGAUGAAGGGAGCUUGCUCCUGGAUUCAGCGGCGGACGGGUGAGUAAUGCCUAGGAAUCUGCCUGGUAGUGGGGGAUAACGUCCGGAAACGGGCGCUAAUACCGCAUACGUCCUGAGGGAGAAAGUGGGGGAUCUUCGGACCUCACGCUAUCAGAUGAGCCUAGGUCGGAUUAGCUAGUUGGUGGGGUAAAGGCCUACCAAGGCGACGAUCCGUAACUGGUCUGAGAGGAUGAUCAGUCACACUGGAACUGAGACACGGUCCAGACUCCUAAGGGAGGCAGCAGGGGGGAAUAUUGGACAAUGGGCGAAAGCCUGAUCCAGCCAUGCCGCGUGUGUGAAGAAGGUCUUCGGAUUGUAAAGCACUUUAAGUUGGGAGGAAGGGCAGUAAGUUAAUACCUUGCUGUUUUGACGUUACCAACAGAAUAAGCACCGGCUAACUUCGUG
RNAcentral lists this ribosomal RNA (484 nucleotides) under uncultured bacterium. RNAcentral's name for it is "partial 16S ribosomal RNA". It matches the Rfam family "Bacterial small subunit ribosomal RNA", at positions 30 to 507 of the family's 1533-position model. The record is from RNAcentral.